RNAcentral lists this ribosomal RNA (398 nucleotides) under uncultured bacterium. RNAcentral's name for it is "bacterial SSU rRNA". It matches the Rfam family "Bacterial small subunit ribosomal RNA", at positions 30 to 432 of the family's 1533-position model. The record is from RNAcentral.
AUUGAACGCUGGCGGCAUGCCUUACACAUGCAAGUCGAACGGCAGCACGGGAGCAAUCCUGGUGGCGAGUGGCGAACGGGUGAGUAAUAUAUCGGAACGUGCCCAGUCGUGGGGAUAACGUAGCGAAAGCUACGCUAAUACCGCAUACGAUCUAUGGAUGAAAGCGGGGGAUCGCAAGACCUCGCGCGAUUGGAGCGGCCGAUAUCAGAUUAGGUAGUUGGUGAGGUAAAGGCUCACCAAGCCGACGAUCUGUAGCUGGUCUGAGAGGACGACCAGCCACACUGGGACUGAGACACGGCCCAGACUCCUACGGAGGCAGCAGUGGGGAAUUUUGGACAAUGGGCGCAAGCCUGAUCCAGCAAUGCCGCGUGCAGGAUGAAGGCCUCGGUUGUAACUAG